CAAAGGGACAAGGAAGGGGAGGAGAGGUAGCCUCCGCAUCAAGCAAGUCUCCCUUUGACUCAGCCCAUAGCAGUUAUGCAUACCGUGAGUUUGCUGAUCAGCCACCAACUAUGUUCUGCAACAUGUCUGUUUGCUACACCUAAGCCCAACCAGAGAAUCCUGGCCUGACCAGAAGGAUUUCUGCAGGAGUGGAUACAUCUGCCAGUGUCUACAUUGCCUCUUACUGCACAAGCCAAGAACUACGGCAAAGUGUCCACCCGAGAUCUGCAUCAAUGGUGAACAAAUCCUUCAAUGCUAUUUACAGUUUGAGAACACGAUCCUCUUCAUUUGUUAGGCUCCCAUCCAGCUUGUCUAGCUUCUUCAUGCUCUCUGAGUUUAUCAGUUGCUUGAGAGAGAGAGUGAAUCAAACAGAGGAUGCCCACGCUGGAAAUACAGUGUAGUCUAGUUGCUGUACAAUGGCUCUAGCCGCAUGUGAU
Molecule: non-coding RNA, 476 nt
Organism: Pelodiscus sinensis (Chinese soft-shelled turtle)
Lineage: Eukaryota; Metazoa; Chordata; Testudines; Trionychidae
Source: RefSeq, a predicted model, not a curated record